CACAGUGCUUGUAUUCAAGACACCGUUAUUUUACUUAAUAAUGGUCCCAAAGUGCAAGAGUAGUUAUGCUAGCAAUUCAGAUAUGCCAAAGAGAAGCUGUGGAGUGCUUCCUCUAAGUGAAAAGGUGAACGUGCUCAACUUAAUAAGGAAAAAAAAAAUCCUAUGUGGAGAUUGCUAAGAUCUACGUUAGAACUUCCUGAAAGCGGCAGCCAUAUCAUUCAUCUCUGUGAUUCUCACACCAGCACAGCUCCAGGGCCGGAACAUCACAAUGGCCAGGGGAUGUAUUCAGUGAAUGCUUCAGGAGAAGAAGAAUAACUCAAGCUAUGGUAGACAGUGGAUGUGUUAGAGAAGACACAGAUAUCUGGAGGGCAGAGAGGAAGCUUCGGCAGAAUCCUGGAGGGAACAGAGCAGAACUUCAGAGGCAGCAAAGGGGAGUACCAGGAAACAGUAUCUUACUCUUCCAGUGUUCAGUCACAUUUAAUAAAGAUGAAUCUUUCCAACAAUUCAACACCCUCAGCUCUUUUAAAAACAAGGAGGCCGGGGCUUCCCUGGUGGCGCAGUGGUUGAGAGUCCGCCUGCCGAUGCAAGGGACACGGGUUCCUGCCUCGGUCCGGGAAGAUCCCGCAUGACGCGGAGCGGCUGGGCCCGUGAGCCAUGGCCGCUGAGCCUGCGCGCCCGGAGCCUGUGCUCCGCAACAGAAGAGGCCACAACAGUGAGAGGCCCGCGUACCGCAAAAAAAAACCCAAAAAAACCCAAAAAACAAGGAGGCCGACUUUUCGGAGAUAUUUUUUAAGUUUACAAACCGUGGUGUUCUUUCCAUUAGUGAUAGAAAAGAGUAUUGCUUGCCAAUCAGACAUCAAAGGCUCCCCUCCUAGGUUGAGGCUUCAGGAAUGGGGGUGCAAUUAUUGUUGAAAGGGAAACGGAUUAUUUAAGAUCAGCUGCUUCAGUGCCCUGAUACUGUGACAGGGUCUGCAGGUGUACAGAGUUUGCCUAUUGAUACAAAUUGAAUCUGAAAAUAGCAAUUUAUUCACCAAAUCAAGCCAAUCACUGCAAUGCAGUUUUCUCUUUCGGCUCUUACUUCCAACCAACCACUCUUAACGAAUUUGCAACUUCUGUUUUACAGUGAACAUUUCUGUUUUAGGAAGGGGAUUGGGCGAGCUCUCAUGGAAAGCCUUUCUUUUAGCCUUUUUAACUUUGAGGCUUUAUUUUAGAAGACAGUUUGUUUAUAGUUGUACUACUUAAUCUAGGCAAAAAUGAUCAACACCUGUUCCAAAUUGGUACUCCCCUCCCACACUCCUUUUUCUCUUCUCCACCAACUGCCAUUUGCCUUCCAUUACCCAUAAAAAAGCAAUCACAUUAGCAUCCUUUGUAACACAAUUUCAAAACUUCAAAGGCACGCCAGAAAUUCUAGAGUAAACUGCAUCUUCUAUAUGCCAACAUAAUCAACUUCCAGGAAAUGAGAAAGAACAUAAAAUAAAGACAUAUUUGAAGUGAAUCUUUUGAUUCUAACAGUUACUUCAAGUGACAGCUAACAGCCAAGUCAAGAAUUUGAAACAAGUAAAUGAAAGAUAGUUUACCUGAAGUGAAGCAAACAGACCAAAGAACUCUCAAUUUGGAUCAAAAACUGGACAACUAAAUGGACCCUCUCAAAGAUCUGAAUCAACACACAUCCCUGGCAUUUUGCCAGGCUUUCCAAAGCUCCUGGAUGGAGAAAGAUCCACAAUGGCUAAGCACAGGUUGUUGUCAUGGCUACAAGCAACCAACAGAAAAAGAAAGUAGCUUAAGAAAAAGGCAGUUGGGAAACACUUAAAAGAAAAACAGCCUGGACUGGAACAAAUGCAUACUUAAGUGAAAUUUUUAGGCAAAGACUAUAUUCUUUAUACAGACUCAAAGAAUAUAAACAAAGAAAAUAAAUUAUAUCAAUAACAGACCAGACUAUAUUUUAAGGAUAUUCCAUUUUAUGAGGGUUUCUA
Globicephala melas (long-finned pilot whale) is the source of this 1973-nucleotide long non-coding RNA. RefSeq lists it as uncharacterized. NCBI's taxonomy places the organism in Eukaryota, Metazoa, Chordata, Mammalia, Artiodactyla, Delphinidae. The record is from RefSeq and is a predicted model, not a curated record.